RNAcentral lists this ribosomal RNA (315 nucleotides) under uncultured archaeon. RNAcentral's name for it is "bacterial SSU rRNA". It matches the Rfam family "Archaeal small subunit ribosomal RNA", at positions 1029 to 1343 of the family's 1478-position model. The record is from RNAcentral.
UUAAGUCAGGCAACGAGCGAGACCCGUGCCCACUGUUACCAGCAUGUCCUCCGGGACGAUGGGUACUCUGUGGGGACCGCCGGUGUUAAAUCGGAGGAAGGUGCGGGCCACGGUAGGUCAGUAUGCCCCGAAUUUCCCGGGCUACACGCGGGCUACAAUGAAUGGGACAAUGGGUCCCUUCCCCGAAAGGGGUUGGUAAUCUCACAAACCCAUCCGUAGUUCGGAUCGAGGGCUGUAACUCGCCCUCGUGAAGCUGGAAUCCGUAGUAAUCGCGUUUCAAUAUAGCGCGGUGAAUACGUCCCUGCUCCUUGCACA